UACGUAGGGGGCUAGCGUUGUCCGGAAUCAUUGGGCGUAAAGCGCGUGUAGGCGGUCCGGUAAGUCCGCUGUGAAAGCCAGGGGCUCAACCCUUGGAUGCCGGUGGAUACUGUCGGGCUUGAGUACGGAAGAGGCGAGUGGAAUUCCUGGUGUAGCGGUGAAAUGCGCAGAUAUCAGGAGGAACACCAAUUGCGAAGGCAGCUCGCUGGGACGUAACUGACGCUGAGACGCGAAAGCGUGGGGAGCAAACAGG
Molecule: ribosomal RNA, 253 nt
Filed under: uncultured bacterium
Lineage: Bacteria
Description: partial 16S ribosomal RNA
Rfam family: Bacterial small subunit ribosomal RNA
Source: RNAcentral